RNAcentral lists this ribosomal RNA (350 nucleotides) under uncultured bacterium. RNAcentral describes it as "bacterial SSU rRNA". It matches the Rfam family "Bacterial small subunit ribosomal RNA", at positions 355 to 696 of the family's 1533-position model. The record is from RNAcentral.
UGGGGAAUCUUGCACAAUGGGCGAAAGCCUGAUGCAGCAACGCCGCGUGAGUGAAGAAGGCUUUUGAGUUGUAAAGCUCUUUCGAUUGGGAAGAAGGGUGGCUAGGUAAAUAAUUUAGUCAUUUGACGGUACCUAAAGAAGAAGCACCGGCUAAUUCCGUGCCAGCAGCCGCGGUAAUACGGAAGGUGCAAGCGUUGUUCGGAAUUACUGGGCGUAAAGCGCACGUAGGCGGGUUUUUAAGCCGAUUGUGAAAGCCCAGGGCUCAACCUUGGAAUUGCAGUCGGAACUGGAAAUCUUGAAUGCUUGAGAGGGUGGGAGAAUUCCUGGUGUAGAAGUGAAAUUCGUAGAUA